Molecule: ribosomal RNA, 492 nt
Filed under: uncultured bacterium
Lineage: Bacteria
Description: partial 16S ribosomal RNA
Rfam family: Bacterial small subunit ribosomal RNA
Source: RNAcentral
AGUGAACGCUGGCGGUAGGCCUAACACAUGCAAGUCGAACGGCAGCACAGUAAGAGCUUGCUCUUACGGGUGGCGAGUGGCGGACGGGUGAGGAAUACAUCGGAAGCUACUUUUUCGUGGGGGAUAACGUAGGGAAACUUACGCUAAUACCGCAUACGACCUACGGGUGAAAGCAGGGGAUCUUCGGACCUUGCGCGAUUGAAUGAGCCGAUGUCGGAUUAGCUAGUUGGCGGGGUAAAGGCCCACCAAGGCGACGAUCCGUAGCUGGUCUGAGAGGAUGAUCAGCCACACUAGAACUGAGACACGGUCCAGACUCCUACGGGAGGCAGCAGUGGGGAAUAUUGGACAAUGGGCGCAAGCCUGAUCCAGCCAUACCGCGUGGGUGAAGAAGGCCUUCGGGUUGUAAAGCCCUUUUGUUGGGAAAGAAAAGCAGCAGGUUAAUACCCCGCUGUUCUGACGGUACCCAAAGAAUAAGCACCGGCUAACUUCGUG